UUCUCAUGAUUAAGAGGUGUUUUAGGCCUUUUCCGCAUAUUUAAAUUUGUAAAACUUUCCUAUAAUAUUGAUUUCUUUUCCACUAUAAAAUUGAAUAUGCAAAACCCAGAUUUCGCCUGCCUGUAGAAAUCCCAUCAUAGAACUCCUCUCCGUCUCUCUCUCAAACACACACACAGCAGCGAUGGCUUUGAGGUCGUGUGCAUCCAAGCUUUUCAGCUCCUCCCAAUCCGUCUUUUCCAACUCAGUGAGCAGAGGAAUUCAUUCAACUAGUGUAACAAGAAUGGGAGGACAUGGCCAUGAUGAGCCAUUCUAUCUUCAUGCUAAACACAUGUACAACUUAGACAGGAUGUCCAAUCAGAAGCUGAAGAUGACCCUUGGUGUUUGGUCUGCAGUCGCCAUUGGUGUUAUAGUCCCGGUUUAUGCUGUCGUUUUCCAGCAAAAGAAAACUGCUUCGGGCUAGAUCAGCUUCUUAUUUGGGUCUCCCUCACAAUAAUGCAGUUCUGCGUUCGUUCUUGUGAAGACCAAAACCUAUUGUUUUAAAGCUUUUAAUAGCUUUCAGUUUUAGCUUAGCUAUACAAUGGCGUUUGCUUUUCUUAUUUUUUCAACGGCAACAAAGACGUUUGUGCCUGAUUCUUAAAUAAUAUUUUCUGAAUACGCUUAAAAAAACACCAACUUAUGGAGUGUUUUGUCA
Molecule: long non-coding RNA, 691 nt
Organism: Solanum dulcamara
Lineage: Eukaryota; Viridiplantae; Streptophyta; Magnoliopsida; Solanales; Solanaceae
Exons: 2
Source: RefSeq, a predicted model, not a curated record